Molecule: ribosomal RNA, 524 nt
Filed under: uncultured bacterium
Lineage: Bacteria
Description: partial 16S ribosomal RNA
Rfam family: Bacterial small subunit ribosomal RNA
Source: RNAcentral
GACGAACGCUGGCGGCGUGCCUAAUACAUGCAAGUCGAGCGCAGGAAACCGUCUGAACCCUUCGGGGGGACAACGGCGGAAUGAGCGGCGGACGGGUGAGUAACACGUAAAGAACCUGCCCACGGGUCUGGGAUAACCACGAGAAAUCGGGGCUAAUACCGGACGGGUCAUCGGACCGCAUGGUCCGAGGAUGAAAGGCGCUCCGGCGCCGCCCGUGGAUGGCUUUGCGGUGCAUUAGCUAGUUGGUGGGGUAACGGCCCACCAAGGCGACGAUGCAUAGCCGACCUGAGAGGGUGAUCGGCCACACUGGGACUGAGACACGGCCCAGACUCCUACGGGAGGCAGCAGUAGGGAAUCUUCCACAAUGGACGAAAGUCUGAUGGAGCAACGCCGCGUGAACGAUGAAGGCUUUCGGGUCGUAAAGUUCUGUUGUAAGGGAAGAACAAGUGCCGCAGGCAAUGGCGGCACCUUGACGGUACCUUGCGAGAAAGCCACGGCUAACUACGUGCCAGCCGCCGCCGUAA